RNAcentral lists this ribosomal RNA (505 nucleotides) under uncultured bacterium. RNAcentral's name for it is "partial 16S ribosomal RNA". It matches the Rfam family "Bacterial small subunit ribosomal RNA", at positions 28 to 507 of the family's 1533-position model. The record is from RNAcentral.
GACGAACGCUGGCGGCGUGCCUAAUACAUGCAAGUAGAACGCACAGUUUAUACCGUAGCUUGCUACACCAUAAACUGUGAGUUGCGAACGGGUGAGUAACGCGUAGGUAACCUGCCUGGUAGCGGGGGAUAACUAUUGGAAACGAUAGCUAAUACCGCAUAAUAUUGAUUAUUGCAUGAUAAUUGAUUGAAAGACGCUAUUGCAUCACUACCAGAUGGACCUGCGUUGUAUUAGCUAGUAGGUGAGGUAACGGCUCACCUAGGCGACGAUACAUAGCCGACCUGAGAGGGUGAUCGGCCACACUGGGACUGAGACACGGCCCAGACUCCUACGGGAGGCAGCAGUAGGGAAUCUUCGGCAAUGGACGAAAGUCUGACCGAGCAACGCCGCGUGAGUGAAGAAGGUUUUCGGAUCGUAAAGCUCUGUUGUAAGAGAAGAACGGGUGUGAGAGUGGAAAGUUCACACUGUGACGGUAUCUUACCAGAAAGGGACGGCUAACUACGUG